GGGGGCGUAGCUCAGUCGGUUAGAGCGCCUGCCUGUCACGCAGGAGGUCGCGGGUUCGAGUCCCGUCGCUCCCGCCA
RNAcentral lists this transfer RNA (77 nucleotides) under candidate division Kazan bacterium RIFCSPLOWO2_01_FULL_48_13. RNAcentral's name for it is "tRNA-Asp". It matches the Rfam family "tRNA". From Rfam's summary of the family: Transfer RNA (tRNA) molecules are approximately 80 nucleotides in length. Their secondary structure includes four short double-helical elements and three loops (D, anti-codon, and T loops). Further hydrogen bonds mediate the characteristic L-shaped molecular structure. tRNAs have two regions of fundamental functional importance: the anti-codon, which is responsible for specific mRNA codon recognition, and the 3' end, to which the tRNAs corresponding amino acid is attached (by aminoacyl-tRNA synthetases). tRNAs cope with the degeneracy of the genetic code in two manners: having more than one tRNA (with a specific anti-codon) for a particular amino acid; and 'wobble' base-pairing, i.e. permitting non-standard base-pairing at the 3rd anti-codon position. RNAcentral also lists the same sequence under 1 other name. The record is from RNAcentral.